AGAUUAGCAAGACACCCUCUCCUAGAGCUUCAGUUCCUUCUUUUUGCGUGGUGAGACAGUGACAAAUUCUGCUGUCACCAGAAGCCCCCAGAAUGUACACACUUCGGACUUUCUGCAAAGGAAUUGUGUGUCUCGGUGUGUUCGUUUUUCCCCCAGAUCGAGGCCCACCCGCCACUGCCCCUUCCUCCGAGACUGCCCCCUCCCGAGCAACGUCCGGUCCACCGGGAUGUGACUGUUCCCGACCUACUUCCCGAGAGGCGUGGGACCCUCUGGACUUGCUAGCCACCCGCCAGCUCCCAGCUGGGUUCUGCAGAGGCAGCAGACGUGUUUCUCCAUCUGGGUCCGGGCAGCUUGAAUGGACGAAGAGUCGAGCGGAUGGCUGGUGAACAGAAGCUGGCCAAAUGAAAAACUUCAGAGCCCACGGGUCCAACUGGGUGACCCAGGCAGAGCAGAUCAAGCGGCUCUCCGACCGGCCCUUCUCCUGAAUUGACAGGGGCAUUGCCAUUUUAUAUAUAAUGCAGUUAGACCUGAUGAGAAAUGGGUUCAGGUCUUCCAAGUUAAUGAAGACUUCUCCUCAAUUCCCUUCCCUCUCCCAUCACCUCCCCCUUCCCUGCCCCCUCCCCCCCAGCCCCCAAACUGGUCACUAUGCUGACCUAAAAUUCCUUCCCCUUAGACAUUGAGGCCUAUAAGAGGGCCCAGAUGGGAGGAACAGAGUUGGGAGGGAGAAAUGGCCAAGGAGGAAGGGGGAAAGGAGAGGGAAGUUGAGAAAAGGGAAUAAAGAAAGAAGGAUCGACAAGCAGCGUGAUCUAGUCGAAAGAGCAUGGGGCUGGGAGUCAGAAGGCCUGGAUUCUAAUCCUGCCUCUGCCCAUUGUUUGCUGGAGGACUUUGGGUAGGUCAUUUCACUUCUCUCUGCUUCCGUAGUCUCAUCUGGAAAAUGGGGAUUCGAUGCCUAUUUUCUCUCCUACUUAGACUGUGAACCAGGGACUGUGUAUGUCCUGAUUAACUUGUGUCUACCCCAACGCUUAGAACAGUACUUCACACCAAGUAAGUGCUUAAAAAAUACCAUAGUAAUGUGAAUAAUUACAGGAAAAAUAGGAAGGUCAGUGGAGAAAGGGGGAAUGAAAGGGGAGGAGGGGGAAAAGGGAAAGAGAGGAAGAGUAGAGGAGAGGGCCUACCCUCCGGUGCCACCAUCUCUACUGUCACCACCCAGGCGGCAGAAUCUAAGGUGCUUGCCCCAGACUUGCCCAUAUGAACGGCCCCAGUGGCCCCAGCUCUGUACAAGCCUGAACAAGGCACUCUUCACUCCACACUUCCUCCUGCCUCUUUAUAUGUAUCUAUAUAAUAAUGUUGGUAUUUGUUAAGCGCUUACUAUGUGCCGAGCACUGUUCUAAGCACUGGGGUAGAUACAGGUUAAUCAGGUCCCAUCGGGGCUCACAGUCUUAAUCUCCAUUUUCCAGAUGAGGUAACUGAGGCACAGAGAAGUUAAGUGACUUGCCCAAAGUCACACAGCUGACAAGUGGCGGAGCCAGGAUUAGAACCCAUGGCACCUCUGACUCCUAACCCGGGCUCUUUCCACUGAAUAUAGUAUUUGUCAAGCACUUACUACAUGCCAGGCACUGUAUUAAGCACUGGGGUAGAUAUGAGCUAAUCAGGUCAGACACAGUCUUCUGUCCCACAUGGGGCUCACAGUCAUAAUCUUCAUUUUCCAGAUGAGGGAACCAAGGCUCUGGAAAGUGAAGUGAUUUGCCCAAGGUCACACAGCAGACAAAUAGCGGAGUAGGAUUAGAACUCGGGUCCUUCUGACUCCCAGGCCCGUGCUCUAUCCACUACCCACCCUGUUUCCUUCUCUUGCUACCCUUCCCUUUCCCUCCCCCUCCACGUGGCAGAGAGAGUGACGCUUGCUGACACCAAUCUCCUUCCCUACAUCGGCUAAUUCUAUUGUACUGUACAAUCCCAAGCAUUUAGCACAGUGCUCUGCCCAUGAUAAGCACUCAAUAAAUACCACUGAUUGAUUGAUUGAUUGACCCAGUGUGCAGCUCUGUUUUCUGUACCCACUCUCAACUUGCCUGCCUAUAACUUCUUCUCACCAUU
This 2091-nucleotide long non-coding RNA is filed under the name Ornithorhynchus anatinus (platypus). RNAcentral describes it as "lncRNA (ENSOANG00000050195.1)". The record is from RNAcentral. Lineage: Eukaryota; Metazoa; Chordata; Mammalia; Monotremata; Ornithorhynchidae.